CUUUUCUUGAAUCCAAAACAAAAGUGUAGAAAAUUUUCUUGUGCGUUUGAGUUUUGAAACUUUUGUUCUUAUUCCUUUUCAUUCAACUCGUUUGGGCUUUAAUUUCCCUUUUGCUUUACAAAUCUGCAAACCCUAGCCCUAAUUUUCACCCCAAUUUACUAUCUCAGCAUGUACAAUAACUACGACCCCAGGCUUCAGGAUGCGGGCUCUUAUCGUCAGCGCCGGAGUGAUUUAAUGGGGCAGCCACCAAUGAUGAUUCCACCCCCUAUGCCAGGUGGUGCUGCACCCAGCUACAGCCGUGGUGGUCCAACUCCAUAUGGAGGUCCUCCGGUGCCACCACCUCAUAUGGUGGGUGGUGCCAGAGUUGGAGGAGGUGGUGUCGGGAUUAAUGGAUAUCAUGAGAUUGAGCAUGGUGUUCGAAGAGGCUAUGAGGCUGGUCAUGGCAGUGGAUUCGGUAAUCGGGGCGGAGGUGGUGGAGGAAGAGGGUUUGGUGAUAGAGGGUUUAGCAAUAGUGGUGCUGGGGGUCGUGGUGGAGGUAGAGGCUUUGAUGGAGGUCGUGGUGGGAGGGGUCGAGGUAGUGGUGGGAGAGGAGGCAGGCCAAGGGGGGAUGAUUUAGAUGCCAUUUCUCUUCCAAAACCAGAUUUUAGAGGCUUGAUUGCUUUUAAGAAGGAUUUUUAUGUGGAGAGCCCAUCUGUUAGGGCAAUGACUGAGCAAGAGGUUAUGAUUUACCGUGCAAGGCGGGAUAUAACUAUUGAAGGGCAUGAUGUCCCUAAGCCAAUUCGGAUGUUUCAAGAAGCAAAUUUCCCUGAUUACUUCCUUGAGGUCUUUGCUAGAUUGGGUUUUGUUGAACCGACUCCUAUCCAAUCACAAGGAUGGCCAAUGGCUUUAAGGGGUCGAGAUCUGAUAGGCAUUGCUGAGACUGGUUCUGGAAAGACUUUGGCGUAUUUGCUGCCUGCUUUUGUUCAUGUUAGUGCUCAACCCAGGCUGGCACAAGGUGAAGGUCCCAUUGCACUAGUGCUAGCACCUACCAGAGAGUUGGCUGUUCAGAUUCAAGAAGAAGCUGUAAAAUUUGGAUCAUAUGCAAACAUAAGAAGUACUUGCAUAUAUGGUGGUGCCCCCAAAGGACCACAAAUUCGCGAUCUUAAAAGAGGCGUUGAAAUUGUCAUUGCUACACCCGGCCGAUUGAUAGAUAUGUUGGAAGCUCAACACACUAACUUGAAAAGAGUGACGUAUCUAGUGUUAGAUGAGGCUGAUCGCAUGCUAGAUAUGGGAUUUGAACCCCAAAUCAGGAAACUUGUUUCUCAGAUUCGUCCUGAUAGGCAAACCCUGUACUGGAGUGCCACAUGGCCAAGGGAGGUAGAAACUUUGGCAAGACAGUUCCUGCGCAAUCCUUACAAGGUCAUCAUUGGGUCUGCAGACCUGAAAGCUAAUCAAUCUAUACGUCAAGUUAUUGAAGUUAUGACUGAUUUGGAGAAGUACAACAGGUUGAUCCGCUUGCUGAAGGACGUGAUGGAUGGGAGUAAAAUUCUAAUUUUUGUGGAGACAAAGAAAGGAUGUGAUCAAGUCACGAGACAGCUGAGAAUGGAUGGAUGGCCUGCUUUGUCCAUACAUGGUGAUAAAAGCCAGGAUGAAAGGGAUUGGGUCCUGGCAGAGUUUAAAACUGGCAGGAGUCCUAUAAUGAUUGCCACUGAUGUUGCUGCCCGUGGCCUUGGUAGGAUUAGUGUCACAGUUUAGGUUUUAGCCUCUCAUUUCGUCUUGCAACUACAUAGACAAGUCUCCCGGCUGUUCUCCAUGUUCCUGAUAGUAUUGUGGUUUGGGUGCGGAAGUUUGUGCAUUUGUUGGCUGCUCACUACAAUUUUGCUGUACAUGAGCAAGGUGCUUUUUUAAUGUCGUUGGAGGAAUUAAACUGGAUUUGGAGGAUAUUGUUAUUGUAUGCACCUUGAAUGGUGCCUUGGCCUAGUGAUGACCUAGAAGGUUGAGAUAGUGAUGAGAUAGAAGUAGUCAAGAUGAUGCUUUCUUAAUUUGCUCAAAGAGUGAGAACAAAAGUGGCAAUGACUGUAGAAUGUUCCAGAUGAUUCCUCUUCCUGGUACUAACUUAUUGUAUCAGCUUAAGUUGUGCAGACACAUGGAGCACGCUUCACCAAUGUGUAAUGACGUGCUAUGGUUUUUUAUAGGCGAGUAUAUCAUAGGUUCUGAAUUCCAUAGGUUUUGUUAACUGUUGUCGCUGAUGGUCAUUGUCAAUUUGCUGAAACUGAGAUUGAGAAUAGAUGUGGGCUUUACAUUUGCCUUAAAUAGAGUCCUCCACAUACAGUGUGCUCGUCCUAUUUGUCUGAGUAGCAUAAUUGAAGCUAAAGUACCCAUCCACACUCGGGGAGCUGGUAGUUAUGACAGCCGGUUGACUGGAGCGAGAUUAUUCAUUGAUUGGACAAUGAUUAGGAAAAUUAUGGAGGAGCUGCUCCUUAUCCCUGCAAAGUAAGAUGUGAAAGACAUAAAAUGCGUCGUCAAUUAUGAUUUUCCAUCAAGUCUUGAGGAUUACGUCCACAGGAUUGGCCGAACUGGUCGGGCAGGAGCCAGUGGAACCGCUUUCUCAUUUUUCACCCAUGGAAAUGCCAAGUAUGC
Sesamum indicum (sesame) is the source of this 2619-nucleotide non-coding RNA. The record is from RefSeq and is a predicted model, not a curated record. Lineage: Eukaryota; Viridiplantae; Streptophyta; Magnoliopsida; Lamiales; Pedaliaceae.